Molecule: unclassified non-coding RNA, 1362 nt
Filed under: uncultured Neocallimastigales
Lineage: Eukaryota; Fungi; Neocallimastigomycota; Neocallimastigomycetes; Neocallimastigales
Description: partial contains internal transcribed spacer 1, 5.8S ribosomal RNA, internal transcribed spacer 2, and large subunit ribosomal RNA
Rfam family: Eukaryotic large subunit ribosomal RNA (bases 593-1362)
Source: RNAcentral
AAAAUAAUCCUACCCUUUGUGAAUUUUGUUUGUUUGAAUAAUUUUUUUUUUUAAAAAGUUAUUGGAGUCUUUCCCUUUAGAGUUUGCUUUUGAGUUUGUAAAAGAAUUCGAAAACAUCUAAAGGGGAUGGUCAAUAAUUUUUUUGAAAAAAGACAUUUUUUAAAAUUAAACUUUUUGUAUUCAUUUGUCUAAAAAUUAUUUUUAUAAUAUAAAACAACUUUUGACAAUGGAUCUCUUGGUUCUCGCAACGAUGAAGAACGCAGCAAAAUGCGAUAAGUAGUGUGAAUUGCAGAAUACGUGAAUCAUCGAAUCUUUGAACGCAUAUCGCACUUUUUAGUUUACUAAAAAAGUAUGUCUGUUUGAGUAUCAGUAAAAUAUUCUCAUAAAAAUCAUUGUGUAUUUUUAUGGUUAUGAGUGUUUUACAACGAUACAAGUUGUUUCACUUUAAAUUUUUUUUUAAUAUUGAAAUUUUUCUAAUUUUAAUAAUUAAAAUUGGAUAAAAUUUUCCCGUCAAAAGGAAUAACCUAAACAAUUUUAAAUGAUUAAUUUUAGCAAAAUUUUCGAAAAAAGGAAAAUUUUUAUUAAAAUAACUUGAUCUCAAAUCAGAUAAGAGUACCCGCUGAACUUAAGCAUAUCAAUAAGCGGAGGAAAAGAAACUAACAAGGAUUCCCUUAGUAACGGCGAGUGAAGCGGGAGAGCUCAAAUUUGAAAUCUUCAAGUUUUACCUUGACGAAUUGUAGUUUAAAGAAGUGUUUUCUGCUGAAGUUUUGGUAAAAGUUCUUUGGAAUAGGACAUCAUAGAGGGUGAGAAUCCCGUAUUUGACCAUUAUUUUCAGCUUUGUGAUACACUUUCAAAGAGUCGGAUUGUUUGGGAAUGCAGUCCAAAAUGGGUGGUAAAUUUCAUCUAAAGCUAAUAUUGGCGAGAGACCGAUAGCGAACAAGUACCGUGAGGGAAAGAUGAAAAGAACUUUGAAAAGAGAGUUAAACAGUACGUGAAAUUGUCAAAAGGGAAGCGUUUGACACCAGUGUUGUUUUCUCGAAAUCAAUUAAAAAUGGCUCGAUUUUGUAUUGCUGAGACCUUAAAAGCUCACUGUACAUUUUUCGCGUCUUUUUUAAUGCACUUUUCGUUUAACAAGUCAACAUCAGUUUCUUUUGUUGUAAAAGGGUCAUUGGAAGGUGGCUUUCUUUUCGGAGAAAGUGUUUAUAGCCUUUGGCCUCUGCAAUCGAGAGACUGAGGUCUGCAGCGUAGACUCUUCGGGGUUAGAUACAUUUGUGCUAAGUUAUAGCUUUUUAUAGACAACUUGUUGACUAUAAUUAGUCUUGUAGCUUACUCGCUUAUGCUAUUUUACCUACGCUUAGGAUG